This 343-nucleotide transfer-messenger RNA is filed under the name Oceanobacillus caeni. It matches the Rfam family "transfer-messenger RNA". Rfam says of the family: Bacterial tmRNA, also known as 10Sa RNA or SsrA, is named for its dual tRNA and mRNA-like properties. The record is from RNAcentral. Lineage: Bacteria; Bacillati; Bacillota; Bacilli; Caryophanales; Bacillaceae. RNAcentral also lists the same sequence under 3 other names.
UACGGAUUCGACAGGGGUAGGUCGAGCUUUGGUCGCGCGUCGAGGUUACGACUCGUAAAACGUUAUCGCCUAAUAAUAACUGGCAAAUCUUAUAAUCAACCUGCUUUAGCAGCUGCGUAAGUAGCCUAAAGCGAUCCUUCCUACCAUCGCCCGUGUGGUAGCCUUGAAGGGUCUCAAAUGAAGCGGGCUUUUGCUUCAAUCCGCAGUCUGAGGAUUGUUGCAGAAACUAAUCAGACUAGCCAUCUGGAAGCCUGUUGGUAGGCUGAAGGAAUGGCGAAAGAUAAUAUACCAACUACACGCGUAGAAGCCUAAGUGGCGAUGCCCUUGGACGUGGGUUCGAUUA